Molecule: ribosomal RNA, 433 nt
Filed under: uncultured bacterium
Lineage: Bacteria
Description: partial 16S ribosomal RNA
Rfam family: Bacterial small subunit ribosomal RNA
Source: RNAcentral
AACGAACGCUGGCGGCAUGCCUAACACAUGCAAGUCGAACGAGAGCUUCGGGUCUAGUGGCGCACGGGUUCGUAACGCGUGGGAACAUUCCCUUAUGUUUGGAAUAACUCUCCGAAAGGGGUGCUAAUAGGGGAUAAUGUCUUCUACCCAAAGAUUUUUCGCCCUUGGAUGGUCCCGCGUGGAAUUAGCUAGUUGUUAGGGUAAUAGAAUACUAAGGCGACGAUCCACAGAUGGUUUGAGAGGAUGAUCAGCCACACUGGGACUGAGCCGCGGCCCAGACUCUUACGGGAGGCAGCAGUGGGGAAUGUUGCACCAUGGGCUGAGUCAUGAUCGAGCUCGGCCGGUAGAGUGAUGAAGGUAUUAGAGUUGAAAAGCUCUUUUAACCGGGAUGAUAAUGACAGUACCGAGAGAAUAAGCUCCGGCUAACUCCGUG